GUCUUGAAAAUUAAAGAAUGUGGCGGUAUUUUAGUCUAUUCAGAGGAACCUGCCCUAUAAUUGAUAAUCCACGAGUUUAUUUACUUAGUCUUAUGAUUUGCAUAUCGCCGUAGAUUGAAUAUCUUUUAAGAGUUUUUCAAUGUUCAAAAUUUUAGUAUUGUGAAAGGAAUUCAGGUCAAGAUGUAGUUUAUGGUUAAGAAGAGGUGGGUUACAAUAAAUUUAUUUAUGAUGAAUUAAUAAAUGUAGUUUUAUUAUGAAGGUGGAUUUGAAGGUAAUUUUAUUUAAAUAAAUAAAAUGAUUUUAGCGCUAAAAUAUGUACAUAUCGCCCGUCGCUUUCAUUCUAAAGUGGAAUAAGUCGUAACAUAGUAGGGGUACUGGAAAGUGUUCCUAGAAUGGUCAGAUUAGAGCUUGGAAAAGCAUUUUAUUUACAUUAAAAAGUUUAUUGAGUAUUCAAUAUAAUUUGAAUCAAACCAAUUAUUUUAAAAGUUUUAAUUCUUUUUUGUGUUAAAAUAAGUGUAUUUUAUUUAUUAUUAAUGUUUAUGAAAUAAUUCUUUUUAUCAUAGUAUAUUAGUAUUUGUGAAAGAGGUUUUAUUUUAUUUUUCAAAGAAAAGUUUUCUAUUUGUACCUGGGUAUCAGGGANNNNNNNNNNNNNNNNNNNNNNNNNNNNNNNNNNNNNNNNNNNNNNNNCUAUUAUUAUAUUCUUUUUUUUGUGGCAUAAAAAUUGCUAAUAUAGUAAUAGAAAUGAAACAUUAUUCGGUUAUUAAUAUAUCUAGUUUUUUAAGAAAAAAGUUUAAUUUUUUUAUUAAUAAAUGUGUCUAUUUAAUUUUUAAUUAUUAAUUAUUAAUAGAUUAUAAUUUAAGGGAUAAGCUUUAGAUUAAGAUAUUUUUAAAGUAUUUUUUAUGGUUUAUUGGGUAGAAUUGUAAGUAUUUUUCUUUAAAAUUGUGUUGUAACUAAAUUAAUUUUCAUUAUGAUUUAUAUUUAUUUAAGGUAUCUUAUUUAGAUUUAAAUUUCAAUUUUUAAAUUUUAGGAAUUAUGAUAUGAUUAGUAAAAAUUUUCGUUUAGUUGUUUUACUAUUAAAAGGUUGAGUAAAGGAACUCGGCAAAUCAUGUUUUUCACCUGUUUAUUAAAAACAUGGCUUUUUGAUAAUAAUUUAAGGUCUGGCCUGCCCAAUGAAAAAUUAAAUGGCUGCGGUAUAUUGACCGUACAAAGGUAGCAUAAUCAUUAGUUUUUUAAUUGAAAGCUGGAAUGAAAGGUUGGAUGAAAAAACAACUGUCUUUACUUAAAUUUUUUUGAAUCUUAUAUUUAAGUUAAAAAGCUUAAAUUAUAAUAGAAGACGAGAAGACCCUAUAGAGUUUUAUUAAUUUAAUUAAAAGGAUUUUUGGUAUUUAU
RNAcentral lists this ribosomal RNA (1389 nucleotides) under Acalonoma pusilla. Its description in RNAcentral is "partial 16S ribosomal RNA". The stretch from base 1 to 398 matches the Rfam family "Microsporidia small subunit ribosomal RNA", at positions 768 to 1311 of the family's 1311-position model. The record is from RNAcentral. Lineage: Eukaryota; Metazoa; Arthropoda; Insecta; Coleoptera; Curculionidae.